UGCCAGCCGCCGCGGUAAUACGGAGGGUCCAAGCGUUAUCCGGAUUUAUUGGGUUUAAAGGGUGCGUAGGCGGAAUUAUAAGUCAGUGGUGAAAUCCUGCAGCUUAACUGUAGAACUGCCAUUGAUACUGUAAUUCUUGAGUAUAGUUGAGGUGGGCGGAAUGUGUCAUGUAGCGGUGAAAUGCAUAGAUAUGACACAGAACGCCGAUAGUGAAGACAGCUCACCAAACUAUCACUGACGCUGAGGCACGAAAGCGUGGGGAGCGAACAGGAUUAGAUA
RNAcentral lists this ribosomal RNA (279 nucleotides) under uncultured bacterium. RNAcentral describes it as "partial 16S ribosomal RNA". It matches the Rfam family "Bacterial small subunit ribosomal RNA", at positions 506 to 784 of the family's 1533-position model. The record is from RNAcentral.